This 348-nucleotide ribosomal RNA is filed under the name uncultured bacterium. Its description in RNAcentral is "bacterial SSU rRNA". It matches the Rfam family "Bacterial small subunit ribosomal RNA", at positions 8 to 349 of the family's 1533-position model. The record is from RNAcentral.
AGAGUUUGAUCCUGGCUCAGGAUGAACGCUAGCUACAGGCUUAACACAUGCAAGUCGAGGGGCAGCAUGUUGGUUGCUUGCAACCAAUGAUGGCGACCGGCGCACGGGUGAGUAACGCGUAUCCAACCUACCCUUGUCCAUCGGAUAACCCGUCGAAAGGCGGCCUAACACGGUAUGCGGUUCUCAGCAGGCAUCUAACGAGAACGAAAUGUGAAGGAGAAGGAUGGGGAUGCGUCUGAUUAGCUUGUUGGCGGGGUAACGGCCACCAAGGCGACGAUCAGUAGGGGUUCUGAGAGGAACGGUCCCCCACAUUGGAACUGAGACACGGUCCAAACUCCUACGGGAGCA